CUCAGUUCAGAUUGCAGGCUGCAACUCGCCUGCAUGAAGUCGGAAUUGCUAGUAAUCGCGGAUCAGCAUGCCGCGGUGAAUACGUUCCCGGGCCUUGUACACACCGCCCGUCACACCAUGAGAGUUUGUAACACCCAAAGCCGGUGGGGUAACCUUUUGGAGCCAGCCGUCUAAGGUGGGACAGAUGAUUAGGGUGAAGUCGUAACAAGGUAGC
This 214-nucleotide ribosomal RNA is filed under the name uncultured bacterium. Its description in RNAcentral is "partial 16S ribosomal RNA". It matches the Rfam family "Bacterial small subunit ribosomal RNA", at positions 1287 to 1500 of the family's 1533-position model. The record is from RNAcentral.